This 511-nucleotide long non-coding RNA is filed under the name Nicotiana tabacum (common tobacco). Its description in RNAcentral is "long non-coding RNA (NTAB_LNC014304)". The record is from RNAcentral. Lineage: Eukaryota; Viridiplantae; Streptophyta; Magnoliopsida; Solanales; Solanaceae.
AGAAUCGGGCCAUUUUGAGAGUAAUCUCUCCAAGAAUUGGGUCACAUUGAGAGUAAUCUCUCCAAGAAUCGGGCAAGGAUGAAUACUCAUCCCCUCACACCCCAAGAUUAUCUUCUUCAUGCGUGGAUCAUCUUAUUGAACAAGAACAUAUCUUUCUUGUUCGACCUACAAAAAAAAUGACAAAAGAAGAAAAAUAGAACAUAUCUUAUUGUUCGACCUACAAAAAAAAUGACAAAAGAAGAAAAAUAGAACAUAUCUUUCUUGUUCGACCUACAAAAAAAAUGACAAAAGAAGAAAAAUACAAGAAAAGAAGAAGAAAUUACCUUAGUGUUAAUGCUUCCGAAUCCGCAAAACUAGACUCAAUAUGGCUUGCAAAUAAUGCGAAUUGAUGCUAAACAAAUACGACGUAGGGGUUUAUAUAGAUAACAAAGGUGGCUGUCAAAUAGUGAUUUCUCGAUGUGGGACUUUGCGACAAUUGGUCUUGGAAAAGGACAUGGACUGUUGAGGCGGC